GAGAAGAACGCAGCGAAAUGCGAUACGUAAUGUGAAUUGCAAAUUCAGUGAAUCAUCGAGUCUUUGAACGCACAUUGCGCCCCCUGGUAUUCCGGGGGGCAUGCCUGUCCGAGCGUCAUUGCUGCCCUCAAGCACGGCUUGUGUGUUGGGCCCCGUCCUCCGAUCCCGGGGGACGGGCCCGAAAGGCAGCGGCGGCACCGCGUCCGGUCCUCGAGCGUAUGGGGCUUUGUCACCCGCUCUGUAGGCCCGGCCGGCGCUUGCCGAUCAACCCAAAUUUUUAUCCAGGUUGACCUCGGAUCAGGUAGGGAUACCCGCUGAACUUAAGCAUAUCAAUAAGCGGAGG
RNAcentral lists this unclassified non-coding RNA (343 nucleotides) under soil metagenome. RNAcentral describes it as "partial contains 5.8S ribosomal RNA, internal transcribed spacer 2, and large subunit ribosomal RNA". The stretch from base 3 to 118 matches the Rfam family "5.8S ribosomal RNA", at positions 38 to 154 of the family's 154-position model. The record is from RNAcentral.